UUCUUCAACCACUUAAUAAAGUGUUGAUCUUUCCUUUUGUCUACGCCACUUGUGGAUAUACCUGGGAAUGUUUCUUCGACUUGAGAAACAAAUAGGCUGUAAAAUCACAUUUUAUAUUAAUUAAUCUUUGGCAAUUAUAUAAUUUAUACUUAUAGGUGUUUAGAAGUGUCCAUAUAUGUUACCUUUCAAAAUAACGCAUCAAUGGAUCCUCGCAAUUGGUAGAAUAUAGGUGUGUGCACUAUGAGCGUCUUCUUCACUCGACCACCAAACCUCUUUUAAUUUCCCACCAAGUCGUCCAAUCUGGCUAAAAAUGUCUGGAACACCAGCAACUGCAUAUGUUGGCGCGACACCACCAUCAUCAUAUCUUCUUGGAGCUCUUUUCCGGGUACGUACUUUUGACGCAAAGUAGUACGAUGUGAAGUGAGAAGUUUCUUCCGUCAAACUUCUAGCAAUUAUAGAACCUUCAACUUUUGCGAGGUUCUUUGCUUUUCCCUUCAAAUAUGUCAUGGCUC
Molecule: long non-coding RNA, 512 nt
Filed under: Brassica napus (rape)
Lineage: Eukaryota; Viridiplantae; Streptophyta; Magnoliopsida; Brassicales; Brassicaceae
Description: long non-coding RNA (BNAP_LNC017362)
Source: RNAcentral